RNAcentral lists this ribosomal RNA (123 nucleotides) under Disa biflora. RNAcentral describes it as "partial 18S ribosomal RNA". It matches the Rfam family "Eukaryotic small subunit ribosomal RNA", at positions 1713 to 1831 of the family's 1831-position model. The record is from RNAcentral. Lineage: Eukaryota; Viridiplantae; Streptophyta; Magnoliopsida; Asparagales; Orchidaceae. RNAcentral also lists the same sequence under 4 other names.
GAUCGCUGUGACGUGGGUGGUUCGCCGCCUUCGAUACUGCAAGAAGUUCAUUGAACCUUAUCAUUUAGAGGAAGGAGAAGUCGUAACAAGGUUUCCGUAGGUGAACCUGCGGAAGGAUCAUUG